UGAAAAAAAAAUCUUUAGAUUCACAUCCCAAUCUUCAAUCUGAUAGAUGUAACACAACUUGCGUAAACCUUGCGAGUAAAAGACCACCGGAGUUCCGGCGACUCCGUCAUCGGACCACAACUUCAUGUCGCGGUGAACCGUGAUUUUAUUGAAGCUGCUGGAAGAACCCACCGGAUCUCCAAAAAACUGUCGUCUCCGGCGACGGUUAAGCAGCCGGAGAUCGGCGUCGUCGCUGCCGGUAAAUGUGCCGAACUGACAUCGUUGAUGAUGAUGAGGAGGAUGAUUGUAGCGUCGGUUAACCGGGGAGUUGAAUCGCCGGGGGAAGAUUUUCGGGUAAGAGAUUGUUAUGCGUGACGGUAGGAACCGUGGCCGGUGAUGUUGGAGAUAUUGUUACGUCGUCGUUUCAGAAAGUGAUUCUGCCGUUUGAUUUGAAUGUUCCGGCAACGGUGGAAGACACGUGCGGUUUUCCGGUGGACGAUGGGGGAUAAUAGUUUUUGAAACAACACAGAGACUAAGGAAAAAAAAGUGAUUUGGAUAUUGUGUAUUCGAUUCUUAAAUACGUUAAAGGAUGUUGAUGAUGUACCCGGAUUUGAUGUACCCGGAUUUGAUGAACGACAAUAAUCUGAAUCCAAAAGUGAUGUUGAUGAAUUCCUAAUGUUGAAGAUCGCCGGUAAUUUUU
RNAcentral lists this long non-coding RNA (679 nucleotides) under Helianthus annuus (common sunflower). RNAcentral's name for it is "sRNA HanXRQr2_Chr07g0298271". The record is from RNAcentral. Lineage: Eukaryota; Viridiplantae; Streptophyta; Magnoliopsida; Asterales; Asteraceae.